UACGGGGGGGGCUAGCGUUGUUCGGAAUUACUGGGCGUAAAGGGCGCGUAGGCGGCCUACUAAGUCGGACGUGAAAUCCCUCGGCUCAACCGGGGAACUGCGUCCGAUACUGGUGGGCUCGAAUCCGGGAGAGGGAUGUGGAAUUCCAGGUGUAGCGGUGAAAUUCGUAGAUAUUCGCAAGAACACCAGUGGCGAAGGCGGCUCACUGGCCCGGUACUGACGCUGAGGUGCGAAAGCGUGGGGAGCAAACAGG
RNAcentral lists this ribosomal RNA (253 nucleotides) under uncultured bacterium. RNAcentral describes it as "partial 16S ribosomal RNA". It matches the Rfam family "Bacterial small subunit ribosomal RNA", at positions 524 to 776 of the family's 1533-position model. The record is from RNAcentral.